RNAcentral lists this unclassified non-coding RNA (253 nucleotides) under uncultured Dehalococcoidia bacterium. RNAcentral's name for it is "contains 16S-23S intergenic spacer region". It matches the Rfam family "Bacterial small subunit ribosomal RNA", at positions 524 to 776 of the family's 1533-position model. Lineage: Bacteria; Bacillati; Chloroflexota; Dehalococcoidia. The record is from RNAcentral.
UACGUAGGAAGCGAGCGUUGUCCGGAUUUACUGGGCGUAAAGGGCGAGUAGGCGGUUUGUUAAGUCCUGUGUGAAAUCUCCCGGCUCAACUGGGAGAGGUCACAGGAUACUGGCAGGCUUGAGGGCAGCAGAGGAAAGUGGAAUUCCCGGAGUAGCGGUGAAAUGCGUAGAUACCGGGAGGAACACCAGAGGCGAAGGCGACUUUCUAGGCUGUUUCUGACGCUGAGGCGCGAAAGCAUGGGGAGCAAACCGG